Molecule: long non-coding RNA, 399 nt
Organism: Acanthochromis polyacanthus (spiny chromis)
Lineage: Eukaryota; Metazoa; Chordata; Actinopteri; Pomacentridae
Exons: 2
Source: RefSeq, a predicted model, not a curated record
GUGGAUGAGGGGCACAAACGAGUUGCCCGUUCAGAGUCAUCAGAGUCUAAUGAGGCUGCCUCUACCACAACGGGACUUACUACAGCACAGUUCCUACAACUGCUGCAGGCUGUCCUCAAUCUUUUUACAACUACUACGGCUGCACCCACUACUACAACAACAGCAACUACUACAACCACUACUGCUGCUCCGUAGAAAAAUCUGUUUGGAAUGGAAGACCAGAUUUCAUCACUGUUUUGUAUCCCUUGCUUUGCUGAGAAUUUGUUUAGAUUUUCUCUUUUCAAAUUUAAAUCAUGCUGUCUUGACCACACCACACGCACCAUUCGAGUUCAGUAAAACAUGUGGAUCAAAACUAAGAGUUAUCCAUGAUAUCUUCUAAAUAAAAUGCAAAAAUGGAAA